GGGGUUAUAGCUCAGUGGUAGAGAGCAUGCCUAGCAUGCAUGAGGCCCUCGGUUCAAUCCUCAGUACCUCCA
RNAcentral lists this transfer RNA (72 nucleotides) under Camelus bactrianus (Bactrian camel). It matches the Rfam family "tRNA". From Rfam's summary of the family: Transfer RNA (tRNA) molecules are approximately 80 nucleotides in length. Their secondary structure includes four short double-helical elements and three loops (D, anti-codon, and T loops). The record is from Rfam by way of RNAcentral. RNAcentral also lists the same sequence under 1 other name. Lineage: Eukaryota; Metazoa; Chordata; Mammalia; Artiodactyla; Camelidae.